This 71-nucleotide transfer RNA is filed under the name Pseudomonas sp. gcc21. RNAcentral describes it as "tRNA-Ser". Lineage: Bacteria; Pseudomonadati; Pseudomonadota; Gammaproteobacteria; Pseudomonadales; Pseudomonadaceae. The record is from RNAcentral.
AGGGUUAACCCGGCUAGGCAGGCACCUUGACAUGGUGGGGGUCAGCGGUUCGAAUCCGCUCGUGCCUACCA